Molecule: ribosomal RNA, 146 nt
Filed under: uncultured bacterium
Lineage: Bacteria
Description: partial 16S ribosomal RNA
Rfam family: Bacterial small subunit ribosomal RNA
Source: RNAcentral
CCUGACGCAGCAACGCCGCGUGAGUGAUGAAGGUCUUCGGGUUGUAAGACUCUGUGUUUAGGGACGAAAAUGACGGUACCUAAGGAGGUUGCCGCGGCCCCCUACGAGCCAGCCGCCGCGGUUAUAAGCCUAGCCGCCGCGGUAAU